GACGAACGCUGGCGGCGUGCUUAACACAUGCAAGUCGAACGGAAAGGCCCUGCUUUUGUGGGGUGCUCGAGUGGCGAACGGGUGAGUAACACGUGAGUAACCUGCCCUUGACUUUGGGAUAACUUCAGGAAACUGGGGCUAAUACCGGAUAGGAGCUCCUGCUGCAUGGUGGGGGUGGGAAAGUUUCGGCGGUUGGGGAUGGACUCGCGGCUUAUCAGCUUGUUGGUGGGGUAGUGGCUUACCAAGGCUUUGACGGGUAGCCGGCCUGAGAGGGUGACCGGCCACAUUGGGACUGAGAUACGGCACAGACUCCUACGGGAGGCAGGAGUGGGGAAUAUUGCACAAUGGGCGGAAGCCUGAUGCAGCAACGCCGCGUGCGGGAUGACGGCCUUCGGGUUGUAAACCGCUUUCGCCUGUGACGAAGCGUGAGUGACGGUAAUGGGUAAAGAAGCACCGGCUAACUACGUG
RNAcentral lists this ribosomal RNA (468 nucleotides) under uncultured bacterium. RNAcentral describes it as "partial 16S ribosomal RNA". It matches the Rfam family "Bacterial small subunit ribosomal RNA", at positions 28 to 507 of the family's 1533-position model. The record is from RNAcentral.